GCUGUAGCGACCGAGAUUGACGAAGAAAUACGAGUUUCGAGGAUGCGGAUUAUCGUAAAUCGAACGAGUACGAGAUGGACAUGGAGACGAAGCUGAGCAAUUUUCUCUCAAUGACACCAAUGAUAAGGAAUAAUGCACUCAUAAUUGGAAGAAACGUAGAAUGUCGAUGGGCUUAUAAUAUAUGUCAGUGAUGUUCCUGUUCGUCUAUCCCAAGAUUUCUGUGUUCUCAGAUCUUGUAAAUCUGGGACCGUGCUUGCAACGAUCUUGCGAACGAUCCAUGUUACUCGGCUAGGCGUCCCAUCCCUUGUCGCAUUUACAAGGCUUCACCAUCGCCAACGGCGUUUCCAAAGUCAGUCAGCUGCUCUUGGCCGCCUGGAACCUCGAUUCAACUUACCGUUUUAAAA
This 404-nucleotide long non-coding RNA is filed under the name Neodiprion pinetum (white pine sawfly). RNAcentral describes it as "uncharacterized LOC124213798". The record is from RNAcentral. Lineage: Eukaryota; Metazoa; Arthropoda; Insecta; Hymenoptera; Diprionidae.